RNAcentral lists this ribosomal RNA (651 nucleotides) under Lacticaseibacillus paracasei subsp. paracasei. Its description in RNAcentral is "bacterial SSU rRNA". It matches the Rfam family "Bacterial small subunit ribosomal RNA", at positions 57 to 673 of the family's 1533-position model. Lineage: Bacteria; Bacillati; Bacillota; Bacilli; Lactobacillales; Lactobacillaceae. The record is from RNAcentral.
GCAGUCGAACGAGUUCUCGUUGAUGAUCGGUGCUUGCACCGAGAUUCAACAUGGAACGAGUGGCGGACGGGUGAGUAACACGUGGGUAACCUGCCCUUAAGUGGGGGAUAACAUUUGGAAACAGAUGCUAAUACCGCAUAGAUCCAAGAACCGCAUGGUUCUUGGCUGAAAGAUGGCGUAAGCUAUCGCUUUUGGAUGGACCCGCGGCGUAUUAGCUAGUUGGUGAGGUAAUGGCUCACCAAGGCGAUGAUACGUAGCCGAACUGAGAGGUUGAUCGGCCACAUUGGGACUGAGACACGGCCCAAACUCCUACGGGAGGCAGCAGUAGGGAAUCUUCCACAAUGGACGCAAGUCUGAUGGAGCAACGCCGCGUGAGUGAAGAAGGCUUUCGGGUCGUAAAACUCUGUUGUUGGAGAAGAAUGGUCGGCAGAGUAACUGUUGUCGGCGUGACGGUAUCCAACCAGAAAGCCACGGCUAACUACGUGCCAGCAGCCGCGGUAAUACGUAGGUGGCAAGCGUUAUCCGGAUUUAUUGGGCGUAAAGCGAGCGCAGGCGGUUUUUUAAGUCUGAUGUGAAAGCCCUCGGCUUAACCGAGGAAGCGCAUCGGAAACUGGGAAACUUGAGUGCAGAAGAGGACAGUGGAACUCCAUG